CUAGAAAUGCUUGAACAACUAUGAAACUCAUCUAAUACACCUGUUUCUUGUUAGGGAUAUGAAAGGAGCAUGAUAACUGGGAUUAUAGCCUCUGAGUGGAGAUAAUCAUGCUAUAAUUUAGGUUCACAAAUUCAGACCAGAAACGUCCAAACAACUAAAGCAAGAAUGAUCUAACUGCAUUCUUUUUCUUCAGCUUUCUUUCUGCAGCUCAGUGGAUCCACAUCUGACAUUAUACAUCUGGCAAGACAGAGACAUACAACCAUUCACACACACACUCACACCUACGGGCAAUGGAGAGAGCCAAUCAACCUAAUGCACGUCUUUUGACUGUGGGAGGAACCCGGAGAGAACCCACGCAAACACGGGGUUCUCUCACCUCCAGGAAUCGAACCCAGAGGGUUCGUGAGGCGGCGCUGCCGCCCACUGUCUGCAACCACUCCGUUUAACAUCAGUGACUGAACCUCAGCUACAGACCAGCAAGAGCUGAUUACCUGACUCCGCCCACUGAAGUCCAGCUCAACCAAUGAGCUUCUCUGUGUCUCCAGAGCAGAAAUGGAGGAAUUCAAAGCACCAUCCUCCUGAUGCUGAGGAGAAGGGCUGUGCAGCAGAGAGGCUGUUGACUUGUUUCCUUCUACUGCAGUGGAAGAACAUUGUUCAUCUACUGUCUGUUUGGCUCCAACUGCUCCAACGACAUGUUGCUUUACCUCUGUCUCUGUUUGUUUCACUUUACAGCCAUUGGCUCCAUGAACAGUAUAAAUCCAGAAAAAGCUGAAGCCGUUGUGACAGAAGGAGGAAACAUCAACCUGACCUGUACAUAUAGUGGUUCUAUCUCCAACAUCCAGUGGUACCAGCAACACCACAGAUCCAGACCAGAGUUCCUGCUCUACAUCACAGAGGGAGGAUUAAUUCAUCCAACUGGUUCUGUUUUCCCAGCUCACAUCAAUAAAACAGAGAAACGUGUGGAUCUGGAGAUCUCCUCUGCUGCAGUGUCUGACUCUGCUGUGUACUACUGUGCUCUGAGGCCCACAGUGACAGGAAACACCUCAACUCUGUACAGAAACCUCUGGAGCAAAGACAACACAAUGCUCCACAGCAUCCACCAGAGGGAGACACUGUGAUAAACUUUAGGAGUUCAGACGAGAAAUGCUCAAACAACUAAAACGAGACUCAUUCUGUUAAGGUCUGCCUGAAAAUGGCAGGACAUGUUGAAAAUAAAGUUAUGUAUCCAAUUACA
This 1234-nucleotide long non-coding RNA is filed under the name Betta splendens (Siamese fighting fish). RNAcentral describes it as "lncRNA (ENSBSLG00000021322.1)". The record is from RNAcentral. Lineage: Eukaryota; Metazoa; Chordata; Actinopteri; Anabantiformes; Osphronemidae.